RNAcentral lists this ribosomal RNA (466 nucleotides) under uncultured bacterium. Its description in RNAcentral is "partial 16S ribosomal RNA". It matches the Rfam family "Bacterial small subunit ribosomal RNA", at positions 28 to 507 of the family's 1533-position model. The record is from RNAcentral.
GACGAACGCUGGCGGCGUGCUUAACACAUGCAAGUCGAACGGAAAGGCCCUGCUUGCAGGGUGCUCGAGUGGCGAACGGGUGAGUAACACGUGGGUGAUCUCCCCUGCACUUCGGGAUAAGCCUUGAAAACUGGGUCUAUAACCCGAUAGUAGCGAUCUUGAGUGUGGGGGUUGGAAGGAUUUUUCGGUGUAUGAUGAGCUCGCGGCCGUUAAGCUAGUUGGUGGGGUAAUGGCCUACCAAGGCGGCGAGGGGUAGCUGGCCUGAGAGGGUGUAAGGCCACACUGGGAUUGUGAGACAGGCCGCAGUGCGCAAGGAGGGAGAAGGGGGGAAAAUUGGACACAGGGGGCACGCGUGUUGGAGAGAAGCCGCGUGGGCGAUAAGGGCUUUAGGGUUGUAGAAACCUCUGUCGCGUGAUGCGGAGCUGUUGUGACGGUACCUAGAUAAGAAGCACCGGCUAACUACGUG